RNAcentral lists this ribosomal RNA (1014 nucleotides) under Metarhizium pingshaense. RNAcentral's name for it is "SSU rRNA". It matches the Rfam family "Eukaryotic small subunit ribosomal RNA", at positions 87 to 1110 of the family's 1831-position model. The record is from RNAcentral. Lineage: Eukaryota; Fungi; Ascomycota; Sordariomycetes; Hypocreales; Clavicipitaceae.
CUGCGAAUGGCUCAUUAUAUAAGUUAUCGUUUAUUUGAUAGUACCUUACUACUUGGAUAACCGUGGUAAUUCUAGAGCUAAUACAUGCUAAAAAUCCCGACUUCGGAAGGGAUGUAUUUAUUAGAUACAAAACCAAUGCCCCUCGGGGCUCUCUGGUGAUUCAUGAUAACUCGUCGAAUCGCACGGCCUUGCGCCGGCGAUGGUUCAUUCAAAUUUCUUCCCUAUCAACUUUCGAUGUUUGGGUAGUGGCCAAACAUGGUGGCAACGGGUAACGGAGGGUUAGGGCUCGACCCCGGAGAAGGAGCCUGAGAAACGGCUACUACAUCCAAGGAAGGCAGCAGGCGCGCAAAUUACCCAAUCCCGAUACGGGGAGGUAGUGACAAUAAAUACUGAUACAGGGCUCUUUUGGGUCUUGUAAUUGGAAUGAGUACAAUUUAAAUCCCUUAACGAGGAACAAUUGGAGGGCAAGUCUGGUGCCAGCAGCCGCGGUAAUUCCAGCUCCAAUAGCGUAUAUUAAAGUUGUUGUGGUUAAAAAGCUCGUAGUUGAAUCUUGGGCCUGGCUGGCCGGUCCGCCUCACCGCGUGUACUGGUCCGGCCGGGUCUUUCACUCUGCGGAACCACAUGCCCUUCAGUGGGUGUGGCGGGGAAGCAGGACUUUUACUUUGAAAAAAUUAGAGUGCUCUAAGCAGGCCAAUGCUCGAAUACAUUAGCAUGGAAUAAUAAAAUAGGACGCGCGGUUCUAUUUUGUUGGUUUCUAGGACCGCCGUAAUGAUGAAUAGGGACAGUCGGGGGCAUCAGUAUUCAGUUGUCAGAGGUGAAAUUCUUGGAUCUACUGAAACUAAACUACUGCGAAAGCAUUUGCCAAGGAUGUUUUCAUUAAUCAGGAACGAAAGUUAGGGGAUCGAAGACGAUCAGAUACCGUCGUAGUCUUAACCAUAAACUAUGCCGACUAGGGAUCGGACGAUUUUAUUUAUUUGACUCGUUCCGCACCUUACGAGAAAUCAAAAUGCUUUG